GAUGAACGCUGGCGGCGUGCUUAACACAUGCAAGUCGAACGAAACACCUUAUUUGAUUUUCUUCGGAACUGAAGAUUUGGUGAUUGAGUGGCGGACGGUUGAGUAACGCGUGGGUAACCUGCCCGGUACAGGGGGAUAACAGGCAGAAAUGACUUCUAAUACCGCAUAAGACCACAGCACCGCAUGGGGCAGGGGUAAAAACGCCGGUGGUACAGGAUGGACCGGCGUCUGAUUAGCUGGUUGGUGAGGUAACGGCGCACCAAGGCGACGAUCAGUAGCCGGCUUGAGAGAGUGAACGGGCACAUUGGGACUGAGACACGGACCAAACUCCUACGGGAGGCAGCAGUGGGGAAUAUUGCACAAUGGGGGAAACCCUAAUGAAGCGACGCUGCGUGAGUGAAGCAGUAUUUCGGUAUGUAAAGCUCUAUCAGCAGGGAAGAAAAUGACGGUACCUGACUAAGAAGCCCCGGCUAACUACGUG
RNAcentral lists this ribosomal RNA (481 nucleotides) under uncultured bacterium. RNAcentral describes it as "partial 16S ribosomal RNA". It matches the Rfam family "Bacterial small subunit ribosomal RNA", at positions 28 to 507 of the family's 1533-position model. The record is from RNAcentral.